GUUGCUUCUCAGCCUUUUGGCUAAGAUCAAGUGUAAUAUCUGUUCUUAUCAGUUUAAAACAUAUGCCGCUGUUCCAAUGCCCACAUUCUUUCUAAUACUUCCACUUUUUUAGACAAUAAGAACUCCAGAAGACUCAGAUGAUUCACUGUUCCUCAUAUUUUAAAAACUUUUUAAAUUUUGAAGCAAUCGCAGACUUUUU
Molecule: small nuclear RNA, 199 nt
Organism: Phyllostomus hastatus (greater spear-nosed bat)
Lineage: Eukaryota; Metazoa; Chordata; Mammalia; Chiroptera; Phyllostomidae
Product: U2 spliceosomal RNA
Exons: 1
Source: RefSeq, a predicted model, not a curated record